UAUCUCUGUAGAGUCUGCAUAUCAAUAAGCGGAGGAAAAGAAACUAACUAGGAUUCCCUCAGUAACGGCGAGUGAAGCGGGAAGAGCUCAAAUUUGAAAUCUUCAAGGUUCUACCUUGACGAAUUGUAGUUUAAGGAAGUGUUUUCUGUUGGAGUUUUGGUAAAAGUUCUUUGGAAUAGGACAUCAUAGAGGGUGAGAAUCCCGUAUUUGACCAUUAUUUCCAGCUUUGUGAUACACUUUCAAAGAGUCGGAUUGUUUGGGAAUGCAGUCCAAAAUGGGUGGUAAAUUUCAUCUAAAGCUAAAUAUUGGCGAGAGACCGAUAGCGAACAAGUACCGUGAGGGAAAGAUGAAAAGAACUUUGAAAAGAGAGUUAAACAGUACGUGAAAUUGUCAAAAGGGAAGCGUUUGACACCAGUGUUGUCUUUCUGAAAAUCAAUUAAAGAACUGUUUAUGCUAAGCUGUUUAGACUUUAUCAGCUAUCUGUUUAGUUUUGAGCUUUUCUUUAAUGCACUUUUCAGUUAACAAGUCAACAUCAAUUUCUUUUGCUGUAAAAAAGCUUGAGGAAGGUGGCUUGAGAUUCGUCUUAAGUGUUUAUAGCCUCUUGCCUAUGCAGUCGGAGAGAUUGAGGUCUGCAGCGUAGAUCCUUCGGGGCUAAAUGCAUUUGUGCUAAGUUAUAGCAUUUUAUAGACAACUUGUUGACUAUGAUUUGUCUUGUAGCUUACUCGCUUAUGUUAUUUUACCUACGCUUAGGAUGUUGACGAUCAGCUGAGCGCG
Molecule: ribosomal RNA, 774 nt
Filed under: uncultured Neocallimastigales
Lineage: Eukaryota; Fungi; Neocallimastigomycota; Neocallimastigomycetes; Neocallimastigales
Description: partial large subunit ribosomal RNA
Rfam family: Eukaryotic large subunit ribosomal RNA
Source: RNAcentral